GAGCCUCUGUGUCUGUCAUCUGAUGAUUACCUCUGGCAUCUGCCCAUCUCUUGAUUUUACAGAGACAAAGGGAAGCUCCACCUCCAGAUUCUGGUCCCUACAUCCAUGAAGGCAGAAGGUGGCUUAUGUCUGGUCAGACCUCAAAAAGCUAGAAGUCAACUAUGUCAAGCUUUCAGUACCUGAUUCAAUGUAAUGGACUCUGGUGCUCUGCAUAGUUGUUGUUUUUUUUUGCUUGUUGUUUUAAUAAAGGGAGAACAUGUUAGGCAAAAUACAAUAUAA
Thamnophis elegans (Western terrestrial garter snake) is the source of this 279-nucleotide long non-coding RNA. RefSeq lists it as uncharacterized. The record is from RefSeq and is a predicted model, not a curated record. The transcript is spliced from 2 exons. NCBI's taxonomy places the organism in Eukaryota, Metazoa, Chordata, Lepidosauria, Squamata, Natricidae.